AACUCCAUCCUGCUAACUCUGUG
Molecule: non-coding RNA, 23 nt
Filed under: Cricetulus griseus (Chinese hamster)
Lineage: Eukaryota; Metazoa; Chordata; Mammalia; Rodentia; Cricetidae
Source: RNAcentral